GCCAGUGUGGCUCAGUGUUAGAGCGUUGGCCUGGGGACUGAAGGGUAUUGGGUUUGAUUCCAGUCAAGGGCA
Molecule: transfer RNA, 72 nt
Filed under: Myotis davidii
Lineage: Eukaryota; Metazoa; Chordata; Mammalia; Chiroptera; Vespertilionidae
Rfam family: tRNA
About the family: Transfer RNA (tRNA) molecules are approximately 80 nucleotides in length. Their secondary structure includes four short double-helical elements and three loops (D, anti-codon, and T loops). Further hydrogen bonds mediate the characteristic L-shaped molecular structure. tRNAs have two regions of fundamental functional importance: the anti-codon, which is responsible for specific mRNA codon recognition, and the 3' end, to which the tRNAs corresponding amino acid is attached (by aminoacyl-tRNA synthetases). tRNAs cope with the degeneracy of the genetic code in two manners: having more than one tRNA (with a specific anti-codon) for a particular amino acid; and 'wobble' base-pairing, i.e. permitting non-standard base-pairing at the 3rd anti-codon position.
Source: Rfam by way of RNAcentral